GCCUAGCUGGCUCAGUCGGUUGAGCGUCCGACUUCGGUUCAGGUCAUGAUCUCACGGUUUGUGAGUUCAAGCCCCACGUCAGGCU
This is a transfer RNA of Felis catus (domestic cat), 85 nucleotides long. It matches the Rfam family "tRNA". From Rfam's summary of the family: Transfer RNA (tRNA) molecules are approximately 80 nucleotides in length. Lineage: Eukaryota; Metazoa; Chordata; Mammalia; Carnivora; Felidae. The record is from Rfam.